CACACUGCCACUGGGUGAUGCACAUGUGGGACAGAUCUGAAUAGCUCUGCAAAGGUUUUUGAAAACUGAACUAACAUUGAAACCACAGCCUACAGAAGAUGGAAUAGACCUUGUGGCCUGAACCUAAUCAGGUCAAUUCCUUACCAAAAUAAAUAUAUCAACAUUUUCCAAAGGAUUUUUAAAAGACUCAGAGUCUGAAAACCUGGUAUCCCAGCCCAAAAUUACUCAGCAUAUAAGAACCAGGAAAAUCUCAAUUCUUAUGAGAAAAGAUGACUGUCAUCAACUUUGACAUGACACACAUGCAGGAAUUAUCUGACAAAGACUUUAAAUCAGUUAAAAGUAUUCUAACAAGCAAUUGAAAGAAUCCCUAAAAUUAAAAGAAAAAUAGAGGGACUCAGCAAUGAUGUGUAAAAAAGAAUCAAAUGGAAAUAUUAGAACUGAAAAAUAUAAUAACUGAAAUUUAGAGGUCACUGAAUGAGCUCAAAAGCAUAAUGGAGACGAUAGGUGAGACUGUCAGUGAAACUGAAAAUAGAUGAAUAGAAAUUAUCCAAUCUGGGAAAUAAAGAGAAAAAAAGACUUAAAACAAAUGAACAGAGUCUCAGAGAUCUGUGGGAAAAUAACAAAAGAUAUAACAUUCUUGUCAUCAGAGUCCCAGAUGGACAGCAGAAAGAAUUAAGUGCUGAAAAUAUAUAUUUCAAGAGAUAAUGUCCUAAUUUUUCCUUAAUUUGACAAACCACAUAAGCCUACAGAUUCAAGAAGCUUAACAAAUCCUAAACAGGAUAAAUCCAAAGAAAUUCCAUUCUCAGACCAAUCAUAAUCAAACUGUUGAAAACUAAAGACAAAGAAAAAUAUUGAAAUCUACCGGAAAAAGAUGACACAUUGCCUGUAGGGGAAGAACAAUUUGAAUGGCUGUGAAUUUUCAACCAGAAACUAAGGAAGGAAGUGGUGUGAUAUUUUUCAGUUGCUGAAACAAAAGAACUGUCAAUCUGAAAUUUUAUAUUUAGUUAAAAAAGACCUUUAUAAAUGAAAUGAAGGUAAAGUGAAGGUGUUCUCAGAUGAAAAAAACCUAAGACAAUUUGUUGUUAGCAGAUCUGCUGUAAAGCAAUUGUUAAAGGAAGUUCUUGAAGAAAGAAGGGAGAUGAUACCAGAAAGAAUAUGGUACAUCAGGGACAACAAGCAAGAGAAAUGGAAAUAGAAGAAGAGGAAACAAUUUUUGGUGUCCAACAUCACCCUGAUACCGAAGUAGAAAAAGACAGUAUGGAAAAGAAAACUGUAGACAAAUAUCCUUCUUGAGGGCUGACCCCAUGGCCUAGUGAUUAAGUUCAGUGCACGCCACUUCAGUGGCCCAGGUUCAUAUCCCAGGCACAGACCUAUACCACUGAUUGGUGGCCAUGCUGUGGCAGCAACCCACAUACAAAAUAGAGGAAGAUUUGCACAGAUGUUUGCUCAGGGUGAAUUUUCCUCAAG
This 1467-nucleotide long non-coding RNA is filed under the name Equus caballus (horse). RNAcentral describes it as "lncRNA (ENSECAG00000053793.1)". Lineage: Eukaryota; Metazoa; Chordata; Mammalia; Perissodactyla; Equidae. The record is from RNAcentral.